Molecule: ribosomal RNA, 460 nt
Filed under: uncultured bacterium
Lineage: Bacteria
Description: partial 16S ribosomal RNA
Rfam family: Bacterial small subunit ribosomal RNA
Source: RNAcentral
CCUACGGGCGGCUGCAGUGAGGAAUAUUGGUCAAUGGGCGGAAGCCUGAACCAGCCAAGUCGCGUGCGGGAUUAAGGCCCUGCGGGUCGUAAACCUCUUUUGCCCGGGAGCAGAGGUCCGGACGUGUCCGGGCCGGGAGAGUACCCGCAGAAAAAGCAUCGGCUAACUCCGUGCCAGCAGCCGCGGUAAUACGGAGGAUGCGAGCGUUAUCCGGAUUUAUUGGGUUUAAAGGGUGCGUAGGCGGGCAUUUAAGCCGGCGGUCAAAUGUCGGGGCUCAACCCCGGCCUGCCGUCGGAACUGGGUGCCUUGAGUGGGCGUGAAGUAGGCGGAAUGCGUGGUGUAGCGGUGAAAUGCAUAGAUAUCACGCAGAACCCCGAUUGCGAAGGCAGCAUACCGGGGCCCUACUGACGCUGAGGCACGAAAGUGCGGGUAUCGAACAGGAUUAGAUACCCGGGUAGUC